This 84-nucleotide small RNA is filed under the name Caulobacter vibrioides NA1000. RNAcentral describes it as "small non-coding RNA". Lineage: Bacteria; Pseudomonadati; Pseudomonadota; Alphaproteobacteria; Caulobacterales; Caulobacteraceae. The record is from RNAcentral.
AUCAAUGUGAAGUACUGAUCCUCCCCCUUAGGGUGCUUCACACCCAGCGCCCCGUCCGACCUGUGUCGGUCGGGGCGUUUUUCC